RNAcentral lists this ribosomal RNA (492 nucleotides) under uncultured bacterium. RNAcentral's name for it is "partial 16S ribosomal RNA". It matches the Rfam family "Bacterial small subunit ribosomal RNA", at positions 29 to 507 of the family's 1533-position model. The record is from RNAcentral.
AGUGAACGCUGGCGGUAGGCCUAACACAUGCAAGUCGAACGGCAGCACAGUAAGAGCUUGCUCUUACGGGUGGCGAGAGGCGGACGGGUGAGGAAUACAUCGGAAUCUACUUUUUCGUGGGGGAUAACGUAGGGAAACUUACGCUAAUACCGCAUACGACCUACGGGUGAAAGCAGGGGAUCUUCGGACCUUGCGCGAUUGAAUGAGCCGAUGUCGGAUUAGCUAGUGGGCGGGGUAAAGGCCCACCAAGGCGAGGAUCCGUAGCUGGUCUGAGAGGAUGAUCGGCCACACUGGAGCUGGGACACGGUCCAGACUCCUACGGGAGGCAGCAGUGGGGAAUAUUGGACAAUGGGCGCAAGCCUGAUCCAGCCAUACCGCGUGGGUUGAGAAGGCGUUCGGGUUGUAAAGCCCUUUUUUUGGGAAAGAAAAGCAGCAGGUUAAUACCCCGCUGUUCUGACGGUACCCAAAGAAUAAGCACCGGCUAACUUCGUG